GCCCCUGUAGCUCAUCAGGACAGAGCGUCUGGCUACGAACCAGGAGGUAGGGAGUUCAAGUCUCUCCAGGGGUA
Molecule: transfer RNA, 74 nt
Filed under: Spirochaetota bacterium
Lineage: Bacteria; Pseudomonadati; Spirochaetota
Description: Spirochaetes bacterium tRNA-Arg
Rfam family: tRNA
About the family: Transfer RNA (tRNA) molecules are approximately 80 nucleotides in length. Their secondary structure includes four short double-helical elements and three loops (D, anti-codon, and T loops). Further hydrogen bonds mediate the characteristic L-shaped molecular structure. tRNAs have two regions of fundamental functional importance: the anti-codon, which is responsible for specific mRNA codon recognition, and the 3' end, to which the tRNAs corresponding amino acid is attached (by aminoacyl-tRNA synthetases). tRNAs cope with the degeneracy of the genetic code in two manners: having more than one tRNA (with a specific anti-codon) for a particular amino acid; and 'wobble' base-pairing, i.e. permitting non-standard base-pairing at the 3rd anti-codon position.
Source: RNAcentral